Molecule: long non-coding RNA, 514 nt
Filed under: Cyanistes caeruleus (blue tit)
Lineage: Eukaryota; Metazoa; Chordata; Aves; Passeriformes; Paridae
Description: lncRNA (ENSCCEG00000003968.1)
Source: RNAcentral
AUGCUGGUUUACACUGGUCUGAACUGGUUUAUACUGGUUUAUACUGGUCCGAACUGGUCCAUACUGGUCCGAACUGGUCCAUACUGGUCCGAACUGGUUUAUACUGGUUUAUACUGGUCCGAACUGGUUUUCAGGGCUGGUUUGGGGAGGGGCCCCUGCGGGGGCUGCUCCUGCCCCAGGUGCACCUGGACACCCUGGACGUGCUGGGAGCGCUGGUGCUGGCGUGUGGAGCCCGCCUGGUGCGCUGGGGGUCCCUCCUGGGCCGACUCUUCCCACAGGUUCUGAGCUCCUGGAGCGGCUGCCGGGAUCCCCCCCCCGGGCAGGAGAGACCCUUCGGGGCUCUGCGGUGCCGCCUGUACCAGGUGCUGGAGCUGUGGGUGCAGGGGCCGGCGCGGCCUCGGGGAUCCUGCAGGGUCCCGGCAGCGCCAGCGAGGCUCUCCUGGCUCACCUGAUCAGCGACAUCUCCCCCCCCUCCGAGGGGCCAAGGUGAGCCAAAAACUCCCUUUUUUCACCC